This is a long non-coding RNA of Setaria italica (foxtail millet), 5395 nucleotides long. RefSeq lists it as uncharacterized. The transcript is spliced from 3 exons. The record is from RefSeq and is a predicted model, not a curated record. NCBI's taxonomy places the organism in Eukaryota, Viridiplantae, Streptophyta, Magnoliopsida, Poales, Poaceae.
AACCUAACACGCUCGCUCACAGCUCAUAGUGCUUGCUUAAUUACAAAUUUUGCUGGCCAACUUUCCACCGUGAAUAUGUGUCUCAUCUCUGCCCACAUGAACUUUUACUAAAAACGCCAUGAAGUACGCAGGUAACUCUCGACCACUCAUUCUACCUUCCUUUCUUCUUCUGCUCUUAUCCGUUUCCGUAGAGAAGAACACCAUGUCCCUUGAGAUCCUGUUGUGAGACGUUCUGGACUCGGCACUGCUCCUCGACGACAGUGGCCAGCGGGUUGUGCCACCGAGCGUGCUGCACACAGGGGCUGUUGCAAGGGCGCUCGGCGAUGUGGAUGCAGUAGGCCAUGGCGGAAUAUGGUGGAGGAGCAACACACCGAUUGGCCUAUUCCCGCCUUGUGAUGAUGCUCGAUUUCUAUGGGACCUCACUUUCAUCCUCAUCUGUGUCGCCGUGCUCAUCCUCAACCACAACGAGAAUCUCUUCAUGCCGCUACAUUUUUGGAGUGUUGGGUAUGCAUGAAUGAUGUUGCGGCGGUCAACUUCAUGCGAGGGGAAAGCUCGCUCAAGAGCCACAAAGCAGGGAAGGGUUACAUGUCCUGGAGAUCCAGAAAGUGAAGUGUGUCGUGACACGAGGGCGCACGCGGGUCGGGUAGGUGGGUUUUAUUUGUUUCUAAGUGACGGUAAUUACUGUAGGUCUAUCGUCCGAUUCCUAGCGCCCGGAUCGGACGUUCGUUAGCGGUGUCCAAAAUCUUUUCAUGCCUACAAACUCCCAAUCGCCUGAUGUUCGAAAUAUUACGGAUAUUGUCUGUCCGUAUUCGAAUUUGAAGCCAUUUGGAGGGGCAUCCAUGUCCGAAUCCGUAUAUUCAGCAUCCAAAGUCAUCCAAAGUCAGAUAUAUAGGAUGUCGAUACCGUAUAUAUCUUAUCCGACACAACUGACACUGUCCGUAUAAAUUCGUAUCCGGAGGUAUCCAUUCGAUCGGUUUACACCCCUAAACCUUAGUAUGACUAGUACUAGAAGAAAACUCACCGCCCACUGCGUGCAUACAGUUUCCCUAGCAUGAUAAUUCGUCAAUUUCAGCAUGCUGAUCCAGCUUCUUUAUGCCUAUUGUAUUAAAAAAUGAAACUGAGGUAACCAUCCUAGAUCGAGCGAUGCAUAGCUUACUUGCGCUUAAUUGCUCCAACAUAUGACCUUCUGAUUGCGUGCAAGUUAACAGCUACUUCUCUCAUGUUCAUUCGUUCCCUCGGUAAUCAACGGGUGCAAGAAAGAGCAACUUGCACCAGGGACAGCAAGCAUCGAUGGACCUCAUUUUCUGCUUCCGCCAAUGGUUGAAUGAAGCACUUGCAUUCUUCUUGGAGAUGAGAAUCAAUGAUACUUAAGAUCUGAUCUGAAAAGUUCCUCUCCAUAAAGUUAACAAUGCUGAGUUCACCCUCAAACAUAAAGUCGGUUGGUCUUUUGCCUAUUAGCAUCUCCAGAAGAACUAUUCCAAAGCUGUAAACAUCCCCAGGGGUCGAUGCAUGAACACUUUGACCAUACUCUAGAGAACGCAUAUAAGAUCCACUGGUUAGGUUAAUCUAAAGUUAAAAUAUUCAUGUGCAACUGGAGAUGACAAUAUUCUUGAUUUGUACCUGGAGCUAUAUAUCCUAUAGUUCCUGACACAGCAACUGAACUAUUAUAACCAAAUCGCCCAACUGUUUCUGACUUUGAAUCAAGAACUAGGCUUGCGAUUCCGAAGUCUCCCAAGUAGAGCUCUUUUACGGUACACAAUACUAGGUUAUGCUAGUGUUCAAAAAGGAGUAUACAAAUAUCCAACGGUCAAGAUUAAUUGUAUACUACUGACACGAAUAACAGACACAAAGAAAGAAGAUGCCCACCCAGCGCACUCCGCCCUCGUCGGCGGCGACCCCAGCCCCGCCACCAGCCACACUCCUCCGCCGCAUCCACGCCACACCCAGAGCCUCCGCAGCCUCCUGGCCAUCUCCACCGCCGGCCUUUCACCCAGCACCCAGGUCCCGGGCAGAUCGGGAGGGACCCCUGAAGAUCUAGACAGCGUUCGCACCCCCCGAUCCCCUUCCGCCGGAGCCGUUCCCUGCAAAUCCAAGGCUAGUGAAGCAUCCCAAGUAAGAUCCGUUGCGCAGGUCUUGUCGGAUUUGCAGUAGGACCACGCUCCCAGCUCCGUGGUACCUACGCCCAGGUCGUCAAGGGCUUCACUAUGGCGGAUCCAGCUUCGACAUGGCGAUUUCAAAAUCUGCAGCCCGCCUUUACUGUGUUUGUUCGGAGCAGUAACUCCACCCGUUGCCACACGCCUCCUCCACCCACCUGCCACCCCGCCGCCUAUGAAGACGCGCCCGAGGUGACCGGUGCGCGGCGCAAGAAUGGCUCAUUCACUCCUCAGGAUGGCUGGGUGCCCGUUAGGCAGCCGUACUGGUGGAGGAAAGUGCACCAUUCAAGUCCACCCCGCCGGCCACCUCUACAACAUCACGGCCUCCCUCCACGACGCUCCACCUGCGACCACCCCUAACCUCAGUCUUCCCCAAGCUUGCGAGCGUUCCGUGCCAGAACCAACUGAAGCUGCUUCAUCUGCUUGGCUUCAGACCACCGCGCCAAGUCCUGCACUACCAAGCACCACAACAGGAGGAGCUCACCGGUUCAGCACCCACACCAUCAUGCAAAGUGCAUUGACAACCGGGAGCAGGAACCCCGCCAAGCUCUGCCUCCACCUCGCCAAACUCUGCCCCACCUCGUAAACAACUACCUCCACCGCCAAAGCCCGCACCCUCGAUGGCCAUGUCAAGACUCGGUGAUCCCGCGACAAGGCCGGAGCAGGUGGACUGCCUCGUCCAAGCAACCGGGACAUCGACGCCGACCUGCGGGAGUGGGAAACAGCGGUGGCGAUCACCUGGGUAGUGCACGGCCAGGAACCAAUCGACCCACGCGACGUCAAGAGAGCCAUCAGGGAGGACUUCAAGCUGCGCCACGAAGAGGUGACAGUCUCGCGCCAUUUUCCUGAGGCUUUUCUAAUCAAGUUCAAGCACAGUCAUCAUUGCACAGAAGCUCUCCAGAAGGGCAAGGCCAAAGUGUCCUUUGUGGAAGUCUUCUUCACCAAACGGAGGAGUCUCUGCAAUGCUGAGGGCGCCGUCCUCCUCUUCCAGGUCAGACUCUGCCUCAACGGGGUGCCAAUGCAUGCCUGGCAAGCUGACAUCGCGGAAUGCCUCAUCAGCAGCAAUUGCACCCUCGAAGCCAUCGACACCAACCUUGACCAGCCGGAAGAAACGAAGACCAUCAACCUGUGGGCUUGACGGCGAACCCAAGCUCCAUCCCCAAGUACGCCUGGCUCAUGUUCACCGGUCGAGCGCGCGAUGCCAGGCUGAAGUCUGUGUUAGUGUCCAAGGCACCGCUCGGGCAGUGGCAACGCGGUGUCAAGCACUGCAUCAUCAUCCACCUCGAGGAGGUCCAGGACUACACGCUCGCGUCCGUCAUUCUCGACGACAGGAUGUCGUGUGCACGCUUGCGAUCUGCCGGCUUCCUCCUUAGCAUCUUGGCUACAUCGACGGGGAGACGAAGCCACGCAGGGCGAUGGAACGUGAAGCACGGCCGUGCUCACCCCCACGCUUGGACCAAACUCGCCUUGGUCAGAGCAGUGCGGCGGGGAAGGGCGAGUGGUGAGAUGACAGAGAAAACCGCCAGCGAAGAGGCUACAACAACGACUACCACACCAGCAAGUGGAAUGUCUGGCACCGGAGGAACAAUGACGACGACGACCAUGAUCACCACGGGCACGGUGACCGCGCUCGCCGCACCCACAAUGCACACAAGGUCACGGGCGGAGAGGCUGGCCGCGAGUGGGAGCGUUCGCCCAGGUGCUGGACUUGGGGUGGUGGAAGCAGGCACAGGGGACGCCAGCACCAACACGCCAUCACCGACACUAGCAGGCCUCAGCAGCUCUCGUUGUUUGGUCCUCUGCGCGACAAGAGAGCCAUGAAGCUCCAGAAUUCUGUUCACUAACCAUGCCUCCACGUUGAAGGAGGCUGCCAGGAAUUUUCUGUGCAGGAAGGAAGGGAAGAUGAUGACAUAGCACCUAAGCUGUACACCUCCUACGACUAGAUCAACAAAGCAGCUAGCUUGGCAGACGCACUCCGUCUGCCACAUGAAGGGGAUGAAGUCUGGUCCAAGGAGCGUGGGUGCAAGGACAAAAUCAAUCCGCCGAUGAUCAAGGUGUCCCAUGUGUACAAACGCAUACUGGAGGACUUGGCAGCACCAGGCCACAACCACAAGCACGGCCGCUGCUCCUGUCUCUGUUCAGGAGGUCGAAGCUGCGUUACAGAACUUCCAGGUGCAUCUGCACGGCCUGGACCAGGAGCUCUCGCCACCAUCGCCGCUUCUGGACAGUGCCUUGUGCUCGCCACUCCACCAUACCUCCUCUGACCGUCUUCAUGAUGAACAGAUGGCGUCUACUCCCACUGACGGCACAGACGACACGGCGGGGCUUCACGGUGUCUCUGCUGCUCCCGUCUCCAUUCAGGAGGUUGAUGCUGCGUUACAAGACCUCCAGGUGCAUCUGCACUGCACGGCCUGGACCAGGAGUUCUCACCAACAUCGCCAAUUCUGGACAGCGCCCAUUGCUCACCACUCCUCCGCUCUGACCCUCUUCAUGAUGAACAGAUGGCGCCCGCUCCCACCGACAGCACAUACGGCACGGCUGGGCCACACGGUGGCGCUGAAGGAGGGGCUACUGACAUCAACAGCAGGGCCGCGACAACACGAGGACAGGACAACACCGUCGUCAGCGCGCUCUUCACCAGGCCGGAGCAAGUGCUCCAGGUUUCACCAACGGAGGUACACGACGAGGACCAGAACCAGCAGCAACAGCAGAAGGUGACCAAAAUCUGCCAUCCAUGACGCGUCUUCGACAUGUCGACGCCUAUCGAGGCUGCUCUGCAGGAAUUCUUAGCCAUGUUCUAGGGACCGUUGCCGCAAGACGUGAUUGCGGCGCUGACGGCGGCUUUCAACCUCGAUGACCCUGUUGCUGAGGAGCUCGACAAAGCAAUGGCAAGGGUGGCAGGCGAUGCAAUCGAAGACAUCCAGGGAGAAGCUGCUGUCCACCCAGGGGCAGGUGACGCCGACAACAACUCCCAGGAGGAAGCCGUCCAAGCAGCAGCUGCCCAGCUGCCUCUUCAGGCGGCGAACUGACCCAGGCGCAGCAAUCCUUCCAGUGUCCUCCAAUUAUCAUGUUAUCUGCAAUGUUCCAAGUUGUUACCUCUGCAAGAACUUGCUGCACGUUACAGUUCUCCUGUGACUUGCCUGUCUUUGAGUCUGUAACUUUAAAACCAGCACACUGCAAUGGUCGUUCAAUCAUGCUUGCAACUAUGCAUCGCCACUUCAUGUCUAAGAUCAGAUUCCCUG